RNAcentral lists this ribosomal RNA (292 nucleotides) under uncultured bacterium. RNAcentral's name for it is "partial 16S ribosomal RNA". It matches the Rfam family "Bacterial small subunit ribosomal RNA", at positions 505 to 796 of the family's 1533-position model. The record is from RNAcentral.
GUGCCAGCAGCCGCGGUAAUACAGAGGGUGCAAGCGUUAAUCGGAAUUACUGGGCGUAAAGCGCGCGUAGGCGGUUACGUAAGUUGGAGGUGAAAUCCCCGGGCUCAACCUGGGAAUUGCCUUCAAAACUGCGUGGCUAGAGUGUGGGAGAGGAAGGUAGAAUUCCAGGUGUAGCGGUGAAAUGCGUAGAUAUCUGGAGGAAUACCGAUGGCGAAGGCAGCCUUCUGGCCUAACACUGACGCUGAGGUGCGAAAGCAUGGGGAGCAAACAGGAUUAGAUACCCGCGUAGUCC